This 73-nucleotide transfer RNA is filed under the name Myotis davidii. It matches the Rfam family "tRNA". Rfam says of the family: Transfer RNA (tRNA) molecules are approximately 80 nucleotides in length. Their secondary structure includes four short double-helical elements and three loops (D, anti-codon, and T loops). The record is from Rfam by way of RNAcentral. Lineage: Eukaryota; Metazoa; Chordata; Mammalia; Chiroptera; Vespertilionidae.
ACCCGUUUGGCUCAGUGGACAGAGCAUUGGCUUGUGAACUCAAAGGUCCCAGGUUCGAUUCCAGUCAAGGGCA